GACUUAAUGUGUAGUGUCCAUCUCCAUUCAGUCCCUUAGUAGAUCAAGAAUGUCAUGCUAUAGAAUGUACCUCUUUUUUAUUGGAGAAGAUGAUUCUGUUUCCAUUUUGAUAUCAGGUUCAUAAGCAAGGUGUUGCACUUGGAAGAUCUGUUGACUUGACAAAGUUUGAUGGUUAUGACCAAUUGAUCGAGGAGUUAGAUCAGCUAUUUGAAUUCAAAGGAGAAUUGAUGGCUCCAAAUAAAAAUUGGAUAAUUGUAUUUACUGAUAAUUAGGAUGAUAUGAUGCUUGUUGGAGAUGACCCUUGGCAGGAAUUUUGUGCUAUGGUCCGUCAAAUUUUUAUAUACACAAAAGAGGAGGUCUAGAAGAUGGAUUCAAGUACCUUGAACCCAAAAAAUGAAGAUUGUCCUGAUAUGAAAGAGAAUGUCAAGGAAACAAAAGGCAGUCAAUCUGCAUCAUCAUCUAAUUCAAAAAACUCAUAGGCUUAUCCUGCAAUGCUGACGACAUCUUUGCCAUGUGCAAUUCAAUCUUUGUAGGAUCUUGAAGCACAAACAAAGUGAUUGUUUGUGCUUUAUCUAAGUGAUUGUUUGAACAGUUUUAUAGCAUGCAUCUUGACAAUUAAUAUAAUUUUGAAGAUCACUAUCAAGGAAGAAUGUUCAAAGGAAAGUAAAGGCUAAGGAGAAGAUCACGUAAUUAACUACACGGGUAGGUUUCCGUAAGAAUUCAACUUUUUCUUGAUCUAUUCUUAUGUAGUCCAUGGUACACAUUAAAGAUUUCACUGUAGCUUAUUUUCAGUAUUCUAACAUGUAAAUUAAUACACUUCUGUGGAUCCUCCAAACAAUCUAAGUUGUGAUGGAUU
This is a long non-coding RNA of Zingiber officinale, 856 nucleotides long. RefSeq lists it as uncharacterized. The record is from RefSeq and is a predicted model, not a curated record. NCBI's taxonomy places the organism in Eukaryota, Viridiplantae, Streptophyta, Magnoliopsida, Zingiberales, Zingiberaceae. The transcript has 3 exons.